This is a long non-coding RNA of Branchiostoma floridae (Florida lancelet), 2217 nucleotides long. RefSeq lists it as uncharacterized. NCBI's taxonomy places the organism in Eukaryota, Metazoa, Chordata, Leptocardii, Amphioxiformes, Branchiostomatidae. The transcript is spliced from 3 exons. The record is from RefSeq and is a predicted model, not a curated record.
UCUUUCCUGCGCUGUGAUUGGCGAUGCCUAUAUUAGGCGAAGACCCAAUCCCAUAUAAAGGCAGGAUAGACUAUUCACAUGCAGUUUGACGGACUCCUCCCCACAGCCGGUUCGUCGACGCCAUGGCUACGGAAACACAGAAGAUCCACAGAAAGACCGCCAGCAGGUUUUCGGGGUGUAGAAGAGAGACCGAGUAUUUACCUCGUUUGCGUUUACAGGGAGUAUAGAAUUCGAAGAUUGCCCUUUUAGUGUCAUGAAGAUUUCGUAUUUUAUUUUGCUUUGUGAAACUGCGAGAAGUUGUUGCUGCGUAGGGACGAAUGUGAGUUGUCUGCGUUUUUGCACGUGUAUCACUCUUUGUCAUGCUGAGGUCCGUUCUUCUCGCAGACACUGGCGUGCCGGGCAUUGUGUAUGGGUUAUGGAAGAAAGCAUGCCUCACUGCGAGAAUAGACGCUUAUUUUGGGCGUUUGUUAGACAUCACAGGUAUAUGCAGUACUGUCUGACAGAACGUCGACGGAGAAGGCAAGUCACACCGCCGGCACGGCCGACCCCAGCAUGACUGACGCAGCAGCCUUGUGAAUGAGCCGGACGUUCCAUAGCAGAGCACCAGUAACACUGUUUUUGAGUGAGACUCACCAGGACAAGUCUGCGAUAUCUACGACCUUCUGAGAACUGGUAGGGAAACUUGCCGACAACAGAGAAGAUAGAGUAGUUUCCUACGGGCGUAGGAUUUACAAGCCAAGCAGGUACGCAAGGUUUUGAGCUCGCCGCCAUUUUUGGCGUCUUGUGGAAUUUUCCAUUUUGAUUUGUCUUCCUACGUUGGCUGUUUUUCUAGUGGAUCCCUCGGCUGUUUUCUUUCUUGUUCCUUCAUGAUUUUAUUUUCCUGUUUUCCCCUUUUGUAUGAUUUUGGUGUGUUUUGUUGGUCAGCAACUAUUCUGUCGUUCAUUUCGUUUAGCGACUCGUAAUUUGCAUAUGUUUGCGCAUCGCACAUAUUUCGCGUGCGCAGGUGUGAGUGAUUCUAUUUGGUAAAAUAGGCUUGGUAUAAUUAAUUUUGUGUUGUCUCAUUUGAGUUAGGUAUGUUGAUACAGCUGAGCCACCGCUAGGACUGCCGUUUACCCCGUCUUUUCGCCAUAGGAGCCUUUGUGAAGCGGUACAACGUUGUUCCAGUUUCCGCACGCUCGGAGCAGAGCCCGACCUUUUUUAUCAAGAAAGAGUCGGAGGCUUCAACUUAUCACUGGUAGCUCUAUGGUUAGGUUCGGCGAUUCUGGGCAUUGCAUUUUGUGGACCAGCCAGCAUUCAGCAACCCGAAAAGCUGAGGGACCAGGCCUCAAGACGCUCGGACAGCUGUCAACCACUGCGGCAGUUUUCCUAAGGAAGCAUUCAGUACAACGCGCGUGGGUGUGAUGCGAGGACGUCUGAAAAUACCACCUCAAGUUCAGCAACUUAGACCCACCAGCCAGCUGAGAAGUACACGCAGCAAACCAUAUGGGAGGACGGCGCACAGGCAGGGAUGGUGGCCAAGCAAAAGGAUCAAGAAGUUUAAAACUAGACUUAAAAUUCAGAAACAGAGAGACAACAGCCCCAGAAUUUUUUUACUCUCUCGUACGUUCGAAUUGUGACCUGAAGUUUCAUUUUGCCUUAAAGUAACAGAAGAUGUUAGAGGGCGUCUGUUAAACGCUUUCUUCGUAAAAAAAAAAGAACAUCUAUACUGUCUUAAAGUUCACUGUAGGUAUGACCACUGUAUUUGCUUGUUUUUAAUUAGAACACAUCAACGUCAGAAGUUGUCCAGGAAGUGACAUGUUUUUCGUUGUAAUGUUGAGAAACAACUAGUUAUUAAAUCGGUUUGCUGUUUUCGUCUGUCUCCAUUUUCUUUACUUGGUAGUACGUUCCAGCGCUUAUGGUUUAUAAGUAAUUUGAAAAGGAGCAUGUUUAAUAUAAAGUGCCAUGAAUAACUACAGGUUCGUGUAUCUUGGGUAGUAAUUUGUUGAUAACUUGACGAGGCACGAAAGUUAAAAGGCAGCAGUUAUUUUGUCGUUUUAUCGAAACAUUUAGGCCAAAGUCUAAUUUUGCUUCGUAGGUAGAUCUGACAUGUUUAGCUGUAAUGAGUCCAAAGAUGACGCUAUAAAAGUUUCAGGUUAAUAUAGCCAGUAUUAAAAGGUCACUGCUUACUUUCUAACUGUCAGCCUUUAUUGGCACACACAGGGUUAAGGCUUAUUUAUA